UAACUUAUUGUUUUAUAAGCUUUAAGUUUGGGACUCAUAAUCGCUUGGUCGCUGGUUCAAGUCCAGCAGGGGCCACCA
This 78-nucleotide transfer RNA is filed under the name Caudoviricetes sp. RNAcentral describes it as "tRNA-Met". Lineage: Duplodnaviria; Heunggongvirae; Uroviricota; Caudoviricetes. The record is from RNAcentral.